CAGUCGCCGCGGUAAUACGUAGGUCCCGAGCGUUGUCCGGAUUUACUGGGCGUAAAGGGCACGCAGGCUGUGCUUCAAGUCAGCUGUAAAAGGAUGCGGCUUAACUGUGUUAUGCAGUUGAGACUGAGGUGCUGGAGUACCGGAGAGGCAAGUGGAAUUCCCAGUGUAGCGGUGAAAUGCGUAGAUAUUGGGAAGAACAUCGGUGGCGAAGGCGACUUGCUGGACGGUAACUGACGCUGAGGUGCGUAAGCCAGGGUAGCGAACGGGAUUAGAUACCCCCGUAGUCCCUGUCUCUUAUACA
This 301-nucleotide ribosomal RNA is filed under the name uncultured bacterium. Its description in RNAcentral is "partial 16S ribosomal RNA". It matches the Rfam family "Bacterial small subunit ribosomal RNA", at positions 509 to 809 of the family's 1533-position model. The record is from RNAcentral.